GGAAACAUAGUUCAACGGAAGAACAGUUGGUUGUUAGCCAUCAGAUGAAUGUUCGAAUCAUUCUGUUUCCG
Molecule: transfer RNA, 71 nt
Filed under: Chitinophagaceae bacterium
Lineage: Bacteria; Pseudomonadati; Bacteroidota; Chitinophagia; Chitinophagales; Chitinophagaceae
Description: tRNA-Asn
Rfam family: tRNA
About the family: Transfer RNA (tRNA) molecules are approximately 80 nucleotides in length. Their secondary structure includes four short double-helical elements and three loops (D, anti-codon, and T loops).
Source: RNAcentral